AGUGAACGCUGGCGGUAGGCCUAACACAUGCAAGUCGAACGGCAGCACAGUAAGAUUUUGCUCUUACGGGUGGCGAGUGGCGGAUGGGUGAGGAAUACAUAGGAAUCCUCUUUUACGUGGGGGAUAACGUAGGGACACUUACGCUAAUAGAGCAUAUAACGUACCGGUUAAAGCAGUGGUUAUACCGAUUUUUGCUGUAACUAUUAGCAGGAGUCGGAUUAGCUAGUUGGAGGGGUAAAGGCACAGCAUGGCGACGAACCGUAGCUGGUCUGAGAGGAUGAUCGGCCACACUGGAACUGAGACACGGUCCAGACUCCUACGGGAGGCAGCAGUGGGGAAUAUUCGACAAUGGGCGAAAGCCUGACACAGCCAUACCGCGUGGGUGAAGAAGGCCUUCGGGUAGUAAAACUCUUUUAUUAGGAAAGAAAAACAGUGGGUUAAUCCCUCGAUGUUCUGACGGUACCAAAAGAGUAAGCACCGGCUAACUUCGUG
RNAcentral lists this ribosomal RNA (492 nucleotides) under uncultured bacterium. RNAcentral describes it as "partial 16S ribosomal RNA". It matches the Rfam family "Bacterial small subunit ribosomal RNA", at positions 29 to 507 of the family's 1533-position model. The record is from RNAcentral.